AUACGGGGGGUGCAAGCGUUAAUCGGAAUUACUGGGCGUAAAGCGCGCGUAGGCGGUUUGCUCAGUCGGAUGUGAAAGCCCAGGGCUCAACCUUGGAACUGCAUACGAUACUGGCAAACUAGAGUGUGAGAGAGGAUAGUGGAAUUUCCGGUGUAGCGGUGAAAUGCGUAGAUAUCGGAAGGAACAUCAGUGGCGAAGGCGACUGUCUGGCUCAACACUGACGCUGAGGUGCGAAAGCGUGGGUAGCAAACGGGAUUAGAUACCCUAGUAGUCC
This 274-nucleotide ribosomal RNA is filed under the name uncultured bacterium. Its description in RNAcentral is "partial 16S ribosomal RNA". It matches the Rfam family "Bacterial small subunit ribosomal RNA", at positions 523 to 796 of the family's 1533-position model. The record is from RNAcentral.